AACGAACGCUGGCGGCAUGCCUAACACAUGCAAGUCGAACGAGACCUUCGGGUCUAGUGGCGCACGGGUGCGUAACGCGGGGGAACCUGCCCUUAGGUUCGGAAUAACUCCCCGAAAGGGGUGCUAAUACCGGAUAAUGUCUUCGGACCAAAGAUUUAUCGCCUUUGGAUGGGCCCGCGUUGGAUUAGCUAGUUGGUAGGGUAAAAGCCUACCAAGGCGACGAUCCAUAGCUGGUCUGAGAGGAUGAUCAGCCACACUGGGACUGAGACACGGCCCAGACUCCUACGGGAGGCAGCAGUGGGGAAUAUUGGACAAGGGGCGAAAGCCUGAUCCAGCAAUGCCGCGUGAGUGAUGAAGGCCUUAGGGUUGUAAAGCUCUUUUACCCGGGAUGAUAAUGACAGUACCGGGAGAAUAAGCUCCGGCUAACUCCGUG
RNAcentral lists this ribosomal RNA (433 nucleotides) under uncultured bacterium. Its description in RNAcentral is "partial 16S ribosomal RNA". It matches the Rfam family "Bacterial small subunit ribosomal RNA", at positions 29 to 507 of the family's 1533-position model. The record is from RNAcentral.